GCAGGGCCCAAACGAAGUUUUCUCUUCUGAAUAGUGAGUGAUGCCAAAAGCACGCAAGGAUAUUUUAAAGACGCAAAAGCCUUGACCAAUAUCAAGUGCAAUUCUGCUGAUAGAGCUGUACGUAAGUCGAGAAGGCAUCUUUCCUCAUAAAAUCAAACGAAAGGUUACAAUAGUACUUACUUACUUCAAAGAUGCGUUGUACGCUCAGGAACUUGGCAAAACUCACAGUCGUCAUUUUGACGGUGCAUAUCCUCGUAGUCGCUCUUUACUCUGUUCUGCUUCAGCCAAAACAACAGCAAUUACACCGAGCAAACCUGACUAUUGGCGCUAAAGGAGAAGCCUGUUUGGAGUUAUAUUGACACGAAACCUUUGUAAAACGAUCGCGUGAGAUGCGAA
Molecule: long non-coding RNA, 396 nt
Organism: Pocillopora damicornis (cauliflower coral)
Lineage: Eukaryota; Metazoa; Cnidaria; Anthozoa; Scleractinia; Pocilloporidae
Source: RefSeq, a predicted model, not a curated record